Molecule: non-coding RNA, 213 nt
Organism: Pelobates cultripes (western spadefoot toad)
Lineage: Eukaryota; Metazoa; Chordata; Amphibia; Anura; Pelobatidae
Source: the annotation of a GenBank genome assembly
CCGCAUGUGGAGGGUGCUGCUGGUUAACCACCCAGAAGCUGUGGUUAACCGCAGCCUAAUUGACGAAAGGCUGGGUGGUCGUCGUUCAUAUGAACGAACACGUGGCAGCAGCCAUUUUGUGUAGCCGAAUGCGAUCAGCGGUGUUUUGUUGUCAAACGCCUGAAACCAAAAUCGGACACUCAUUUUUGGAUAUGUUGUUCGCCCAGAUGAGAG